AUUGAACGCUGGCGGCAUGCCUUACACAUGCAAGUCGAACGGUAGAGGGGGCAACCCCUUGAGAGUGGCGAACGGGUGAGUAAUGCAUCGGAACGUGCCCAGUUGCGGGGGAUAACACUUCGAAAGAAGUGCUAAUACCGCAUACGACCUGAGGGUGAAAGCGGGGGACUCGCAAGAGCCCCGCGCAAUUGGAGCGGCCGGUGUCAGAUUAGGUAGUUGGUGGGGUAAAGGCCUACCAAGCCGACGAUCUGUAGCUGGUCUGAGAGGACGACCAGCCACACUGGGACUGAGACACGGCCCAGACUCCUACGGGAGGCAGCAGUGGGGAAUUUUGGACAAUGGACGCAAGUCUGAUCCAGCCAUGCCGCGUGCAGGAAGAAGGCCUUCGGGUUGUAAACUGCUUUUGUCAGGGAAGAAAUCCUUUGGGUUAAUACCUCGGGGGGAUGACGGUACCUGAAGAAUAAGCACCGGCUAACUACGUGCCAGCAGCCGCAGUAA
This 498-nucleotide ribosomal RNA is filed under the name uncultured bacterium. Its description in RNAcentral is "partial 16S ribosomal RNA". It matches the Rfam family "Bacterial small subunit ribosomal RNA", at positions 30 to 523 of the family's 1533-position model. The record is from RNAcentral.